Tinamus guttatus (white-throated tinamou) is the source of this 168-nucleotide non-coding RNA. NCBI's taxonomy places the organism in Eukaryota, Metazoa, Chordata, Aves, Tinamiformes, Tinamidae. The record is from RefSeq and is a predicted model, not a curated record.
AACAACAGGACUGUCACUGUUAACGUGUACGUUCUGCCUGUUAUUCAGCAUGGACAGCAGAUAUUCAGUACCAUUGAAGGAAUCCCGGUCACACUGCCGUGCAAAGCCAGUGGAGUUCCUAAGCCGUCUAUACUCUGGUCCAAGAAAGGAGAACAAAUUCUUGCCAGC